AUGUACACGGCUAUAAACACGUACAAAUCCAAUGACUGGUACAUUCCUUUCAUCUUCACUCUGAUGGCUAUUUUCCUUGCUGGGUUGAUUUCCUGGCUAUGUUUCCUGCUUUGGAAAUACGGGAACAUUAUGGAAUGCUGUCAGAAAAUGAUCAAGGAAGUCUCCAAGGCCAAACCCAAUGAAAUGAAGUAUAUUGCAGGUGACGGAAAUCAAAAGGAAAAUAUUGUCACAGGAAACAGAAAUAAAAAAUUAGAAGUAUUAACAUCUCUGGGAAUGUAUAUGAAUAUAACAGCAGAACAGGUGCAAGAAAGUGGAAGAAGUCCCCCAGGCACCAGAAGGAGCCCUUGGCAAACAUAUAUUCCCUCCCAGAGGUCCAUCCUUUAGAGGAGUCUACAUCCUUAAAAAUUCCUUUGCGAGGAUAGCAUUUUUCCAGUGUCUGAAUGAUUGUUUUUUUGUGUAUAUGAUUGUCACAGGCAGUUUUUCUUGGCUACCUAAAAUUAUAGACACGAGGCCAGCUGCUUUGUCUGUGUUUAUAGCUUUUUGUAAUCUUCUAGUUCAGGGUGUCUGUGUGAAGGCAGCAGGAGUGGUCAGCUUUGAAUCUCUGAACAUGUUUUGCUGAAAACGAGAUACUAAAUUGACAUAUGUUCAUUGUCUUACUUUGCCCAGUAGAAUGUAUGCUUUUUAAGACCAGAGACUAUUUUUCUCACUGCUUUAGUCCCAGUACAUGCUUGGCACAGAGUGAGGACUCUUUAUAUAUUUAUGAAUAAAUAAAUUUGAAUAUAUGAAUCCAG
This 791-nucleotide long non-coding RNA is filed under the name Aotus nancymaae (Ma's night monkey). Its description in RNAcentral is "lncRNA (ENSANAG00000039072.1)". Lineage: Eukaryota; Metazoa; Chordata; Mammalia; Primates; Aotidae. The record is from RNAcentral.